GAAGCCCGCCAGACCGCCGCUGGUGCAAGGCCCGAGAGGGCGCACUGGAGGAACGUCCGGACUGCACAGGGCAGCGUAGCAGGCAACACCUGUCCACCGCGAGGUGAGGAUCAGAGCAACAGAGACGAGUCGAUCCGUGGUUUCGGCCGCGGGUCGGGUGAAACGGGCAAUCUCUACGCGCAGCAAUACCAAGUAGGCACACGUUGACGGGGCCCCCGGAGUGUGCGGGUAGGUAGCACCGAGCCGUGCUGGCGACAGCCGGCCCAGAGGAAUGGCGGUCACGUCCGGGCAACCGGACGCACAGAAUCCGGCGUACCGGCGGGCUUCACAC
RNAcentral lists this RNase P RNA (331 nucleotides) under Ramlibacter lithotrophicus. Its description in RNAcentral is "Bacterial RNase P class A". It matches the Rfam family "Bacterial RNase P class A". From Rfam's summary of the family: Ribonuclease P (RNase P) is a ubiquitous endoribonuclease, found in archaea, bacteria and eukarya as well as chloroplasts and mitochondria. Lineage: Bacteria; Pseudomonadati; Pseudomonadota; Betaproteobacteria; Burkholderiales; Comamonadaceae. The record is from Rfam by way of RNAcentral.